GAUGAACGCUGGCGGCGUGCCUAAUACAUGCAAGUCGAGCGAACGGACGAGAAGCUCGCUCCUCUGAUGUUAGCGGCGGACGGGUGAGUAACACGUGGAUAACCUACCUAUAAGACUGGGAUAACUUCGGGAAACCGUAGCUAAUACCGGAUAAUAUUUUGAACCGCAUGGUUCAAAAGUGAAAGACGGUCUUGCUGUCACUUAUAGAUGGAUCCGCGCUGCAUUAGCUAGUUGGUAAGGUAACGGCUUACCAAGGCAACGAUGCAUAGCCGACCUGAGAGGGUGAUCGGCCACACUGGAACUGAGACACGGUCCAGACUCCUACGGGAGGCAGCAGUAGGGAAUCUUCCGCAAUGGGCGAAAGCCUGACGGAGCAACGCCGCGUGAGUGAUGAAGGUCUUCGGAUCGUAAAACUCUGUUAUUAGGGAAGAACAUAUGUGUAAGUAACUGUGCACAUCUUGACGGUACCUAAUCAGAAAGCCACGGCUAACUACGU
Molecule: ribosomal RNA, 496 nt
Filed under: uncultured bacterium
Lineage: Bacteria
Description: partial 16S ribosomal RNA
Rfam family: Bacterial small subunit ribosomal RNA
Source: RNAcentral